Molecule: long non-coding RNA, 1405 nt
Organism: Anopheles arabiensis
Lineage: Eukaryota; Metazoa; Arthropoda; Insecta; Diptera; Culicidae
Exons: 3
Source: RefSeq, a predicted model, not a curated record
ACGAGAUCGACUGCGGAGAUCUCGGCCGGCUACCAUAGCAAAUUGAGGAGAUAAGGAAGAGUGAGUAGCCGUGCGGAUAAGAGCAACGACGAAGAGGCGAAAAGAUGCGAGAGUGAGUGCGGAUUAAGAGCAACGACGAAGAGGCGAACAGAUGAGAGAGUGAGUGCGGGGUGCGAGGUGCGAGAGAUCCAAAGCACAGAUGCUUUCGAUUAUUCGUAGAUUAGCUGUAGGACAAAACGUGUGCGGUAGAUUGGAUAGGGUACAAGGCUAGCUGCGUUAGGAAAUAAAGUGUGUAAUUGUUCUAGCUGUAUAAGUGGUUUUCUUGAUUCGUUUUGAGUGCGGUAAAUUUAAGUGCUAAUUAUUUGUGGUUUAGAUAGUGUGGUUCUAAUUUACGGUUCAUGUGGUGACAGCGGAAAGCAGUGCGUUAUUUAGCCUGUGUGGUGCGUCUUUUCUGACUGGUGAACGGUGCUAUUACCUAGCUAUUAGUGUUAAACAUAGCAAGUAGCAGUGAUAAAGGAGCUAGCAUCAUCGUUGCAAUGGCGGCAGUGAAUGAUCGAGAGAGUCACUAAAAGUAGGGUGUGGUGUAUCGUCAGUGUGGUUGUUUGCCAAAUGUUAUCACAAUUUUUAUAUUUAUUUAAUUGAUUUUUUGUAUUUAUUCAUUUUAUUAAUUGAUAACAAUUAUUGUUGAAUUUUACUAAUUUAUUGUCUACUUUUUAGGUCAUUCGAAUCGUCGUUUAAUAGUUUACUUAAGUUUUGUAUUGGUUAAUUGUAUGUAGUAGAGAUAGAGAAACACAACACGGCACGGACUGAAAGCGCGGAAACACAUGACAUACUGGUGAGCGGCUGCUAAAAAGAAUUAGGCUCGAGGUGACAAUGACGGAUGAGGCCGGUAGAGAGGCUGCGCAAUGGCGGAUGAGGCCGGUAGAGCGACUGCGCAAAGAAAGAAGCGGCAUGACCGGUACAACUCGGAAAUCGGUGAUUCGGUGAUUCGGUGAAUCUUGGAAGGCAAAAAUCUCUAUCUGCGGCUCGAAAACUUGGCGAAAUUUAUGUGAAUGCGUAACGCGAUGAGAUUACGGCGCAUACAGAUACGUACAUUUACACCACAAUGAAAUGUCAGGAAUGGGGAAGAGACAGGAGCAUUGCAAAGGGGCGCUGUUAACAUGUUGGUGCACGAUUCAGCUAGACGAAGGGUUGGCCUGUUUAGAUGUGUUAAGAAGGUUAGGCGUUACCUUGAAUCAUGUACACGGAAAGACAUGAAUUGGCCAUCGUAUCGUCAAAGUAACGUAAUGUCGCAGAAGUUGCGUGGAAGCGUUAUUAGCUCAUGCGUUGAUAGCGAUAUCGUCAAUAAGGCAGAGGUGAACCGAUAGGGGCAACGAACGACUUGUUAUUUGGGAAAAAAAAAAAA